CCAAGUUUAAAACCAUCCUCUACACAAGUGAAAGCACUCAUGAUAAAAUACCAUUUAAAUUUGGUACAAACACCAAAUAAUUGCAUGUUCCUGUUAAAGUUAUUCUUUUUCCAACUCCAAAAAUCCCCUAUAAAACCGUUCCUUCCGUCAUAUUGUUUAAUCAAACUCAAAACUAUCACUUGAAUAACAAUCCUCUAGCAUUUUCUUAAGCAGUUAAGAAACUUACAGAGGAAUGGAGGGCAUUAAGCUAGCAACUGCUCUCAACAUCUCAAUCAUGGCUCUUAUUGUCAUUGCCAGUUUUGGAAUGACCGCAGCACAAGAUGUUGGAGCACCUGCACCUGCACCAGCACUGCAGAGCGGCACAUCAACACUUUAUGGUCCAGCCAUACUUGCAGCCAUGGCCUCUAUCUUUGCUUGCCUCUUCUAAAUUUGAUUACCUAUCAUUCUUCAAUCUCCGUUCUUCUCCAUUUUCAGUGCUAUUGAUAAUAAGGAUGCAUUAAUAAUUAUAAAAACUAUUACAGUCAUCCAAUCUAGCUAGAAAUGCCCUGCUAUAUGUUCUCAGUUUAAGCUUUCAAUAUAAUAACUUUGUAUCAUAUUAAGAACUUAAAUGCAUUAUUUAAACUGUGCACACUAUAUAAAGGUUAUCAGGGUAAAAAAGGCACUCAAAACAAAAUAACUAGAGCAGAAUAUCUCAAACUCAAAUAUCAGCAAGUCCUAGAAAUGAAGAAACAAGUCCUAGAUGCAUAUAGUUUAGCAAUACUGUGACACGAAAUGCAUUGUUCAUACAAUCAUAGUGUGAUAUCCACAUAUACAUUAUUGUUAAUACUUAAAGUCUUAAACCAUCAAUAAGUAGUAUGAGGAAUCGACAAUCAAUUAAUUGUUUCAAUAUCAUAUUUGCAUAAAUAAUGUUAUAUAACCUAUACUCAGUUCUAGUAAUAAUCGGCAUUUACACGGAACGUUAUCAAUGAAAUUAUAGUAACACAUCAGUUAAUUGGUGAUUAUCCUUAAUAUGCUUAACAACCUAAAAGAAAGAUUAACAAGUGAAAUUGGGACAUGAAAUUUGAAUAAUUUUAACAUUCCAACCAAAGAUCUUAAAAUGCAUGAAAUUUAUCGGGGCAUUCAAUGGGAUGCAAGAACUAUAAAAUACAGUUGUUUCACUAUGCAGUUUGAUUCUCAUUACAACCUUUCCCAUUGUUCAUAUUAUAGUAACUGCCCACAAGUUCAAAGCACCACAAACUCAAUCUUGUCAUCACAAACUUUUCCUGUUAUAAUUUGCGACAUUACUUAGUUUGGCUUGAAGUGGAUCAAAUCCCAGAAAUGUCAAAGUAACCCUUCUCAUCAGAUCAUUCCCAUAUAUUACAAUGUGCAAAAUACAUAACAUUCUCUUAACAUCAUGAUGCAACAAAUUUCAGGCUCAAUGCUAAUUUUCCAUCAGCCACACAGUUAAUAACCGCUUCAUAUUUUCAACUACCAUUAGUAAACACAUUGAAAUUUGAUCAAAGUACACAUUUUGAAAAAUAGAUUUUUCAAGUUCACAUUUCGAAGAUCAGUAUGCAUAAUCCAUUUUUAUAAACAUUCUAAAUCUAAUGAUGUAGAAAACUAAACUGCCUGACAAGUUCUCCUAUUAACAUUGACCAAGCAUUUAAAUGUUUGGCUAAAUAGCAAAUAUUCAUUCUACUUGGUUCAUUUUAUUGGUCCAACAAAACCAGUUUCAAUUUACUGCUAGAUUUGCUCAUUACAGACAUGUACUCGGGCGGAUCCAUUCUGGAUUUUUUUUGUAGGUAUACGGGUAGGGGCAAAUAUAUAAGUGAAUAAAUUUAAGGGCAUAGAUUAAUGGAAGAGUUAAAUUUGGAGGGGGUAAAAAAUAUUCAUUUAUAUUCUAAAUACAAGUACAUACAUACGUAUAUUCAUUCUACUUCUAUCUUCUAAAUUGUAUCUAAAUAUUUUUUUAUUUAAAAUUUCUUUUUUAGUUUAGAUUAUGAAUAUUUAUUGUAAUUUGUAAACAUUAUUAUGAUUAGUUCAAGUUUUCUUUAUUUAACUUCAAUAAAAAAUUAGUUAAAAUCGGUUCAUGCAAAAAUUUCUGAAUCCACUCCUGUAUGUAUUAGAUGCAUGAGCAUAGUAAAUAAAAGCUUUUAUGCGCAAAUUUCAAGCUGCUUCAGUGCUUCUACAGAAUUACCUAAAAUUCUAAGCUUUUCUAUCACUUCACUAGAAUGAAAGAAUGCAAUUUAUAAGCACCAAGUAACUGUACAGAUCUUAAACAAGCGAACAAUGAAACUGCAAGGUAACAACAUUCAUAUGAUUUUGUUAAAGGUUUAAAAACAACAAAUAUGUGAAAUGAUAAAUUGGAUGUAUUCAAUUGGAUUUUGAAAUAAACCUAGAAAUUCAGUCUAAAUUAAGAAAUUGAAAUAGUACAUCGGCUAGUAGACUAAGAAGUUGAAAGACCAAUCAGUACAAAUGAAAUACAUAUACAUAUGUGUGUGUGUGUGUGUAUAUAUAUAUAUAUAUAUAUAUAUAUAUAUAUAUAUAUAUAUAUAUAUAUAUAUAAAGUGAGGCGUAGCUAACCUGCAGGACAAGUGGUCGCCGCGGACUCCGUUCUCUUUGCGGCGGUGGAAGAUGUGAUCAAGUUGAUGAUCAAACGAUGGCGUUUGUGAUUAAUUAAGUUUUGAUAUCUUCCAUUAGAUUUUCCAAAUGAAUCAAAAUUGAUGAUCGGUUUUUUGGACCCCAGAACUCAAUAUUCGGG
Molecule: long non-coding RNA, 2740 nt
Filed under: Panax ginseng (ginseng)
Lineage: Eukaryota; Viridiplantae; Streptophyta; Magnoliopsida; Apiales; Araliaceae
Description: long non-coding RNA (PGIN_LNC017328)
Source: RNAcentral